UUAAAAAUCUAAUUAAGUUUGAUUUGAUAGUUUGGUAUUGAGUGAAAAAAUUCGAACAAAACGACAUAUAUAUAUACACACACACUCUCUCUCUCUCUUCUAAGACUUUUAUAGAAUUUUCUUUAAAAAAUAGGCGUAAUAUAUAAAGCACCCCUUUAAGUUGUCUCCAACGAUCAUUUGAACACCUUAAUUUGGCAUAUGACCAAAUAGACACUCAUGCUUGGAAGAACUGCAUCUCUUAAAUCUCUUACGAUGACAUGAUAAAAUUUGUAUGUCACACUCAGAUAUGAGCGUGUGAAUCUCUUUAAAAUUAGCUAUCUUCUUUUUUUCUCCUAAAAUCAACAUGAACUCCACCUAAUUCAUACAUCUUUCUUCUCCGAUUUUCUUCUACCAUCCUCUACCCUAAAACUAAUUUCUCCACCUUUCAUCUUCAUGCUAGAAAAAAGCAUAUCAAGGACACAACUUUCAUUACCACCACAAUUAAUGUCAACCACUAAACAAAGUUACAAACCCAAAAAUAAUAUAUCUCCACUGUUACAUCACAUAGAACCAUUGACACUUCCAUCAAUCUCCCUUAUUGACCCCAAAUAUAGAAAAAAAAAAUUCAUUUAAAACCUUCCAAUUUCACCACAAUUACAUCUGAGAGUUAGUUCUUUGCGGUGAUAAUAUAUCAAUCAAGUGGGUUGGUACAAUUUUUGAUUUGAUUUUGAGAAAAAACAAAAAGAACGAAGCGGGCUUUGGCAGCAGACAACAUAAGGUUGGAGCUUCAAAGAGCAACAAAUUAUGAGGCCAUAGCAGAAAGGAAAGGCAGCAAAGAGAUUAAGAGCAGUAGUGAAAGCAAAGUAAAGCAAAAAGAGUUUUAAUGUGGCAAAGCAGUGAAGACAGAUGCAAUGUCUUGGGGGGAGGGGGGGAAGAGUCUUUUUCUUUUUUUAAUUAAAGAAUUACAAGUUUUUUUAAUAUAAACUAUAAUAUAUUCAAGAAAUACACAUGCUAUUCGCUAAUUUGUCAGAUUGACAUGUCAUUAGCAAGUGUAACUCACACAUGAGGCUUGUUGAACUUGAGUGUUCUCGAGACACUCCUGUGUCUAGAAGUAUCUGUCUUGUCAUAUGCCCAGUUAAGGUGUUCAAAUAAUCGUUAAAGACAAUUUAAAGAGGCGUUUUAUGUAUUUCUCAUAAAAAAUAUCUUGAUAUAUUUAUGGU
This 1199-nucleotide long non-coding RNA is filed under the name Nicotiana benthamiana. RNAcentral's name for it is "long non-coding RNA (NBEN_LNC008311)". The record is from RNAcentral. Lineage: Eukaryota; Viridiplantae; Streptophyta; Magnoliopsida; Solanales; Solanaceae.